AUUGAACGCUGGCGGCAUGCUUUACACAUGCAAGUCGAACGGCAGCGCGGGCUUCGGCCUGGCGGCGAGUGGCGAACGGGUGAGUAAUACAUCGGAACGUGCCCCGUAGUGGGGGAUAGCUCGGCGAAAGCCGGAUUAAUACCGCAUACGACCUGAGGGUGAAACCGGGGGAUCUUCGGACCUCGCGCUAUUGGAGCGGCCGAUGGGAGAUUAGCUAGUUGGUGGGGUAAAGGCCUACCAAGGCGACGAUCUGUAGCUGGUCUGAGAGGACGACCAGCCACACUGGGACUGAGACACGGCCCAGACUCCUACGGGAGGCAGCAGUGGGGAAUUUUGGACAAUGGGCGAAAGCCUGAUCCAGCAAUGCCGCGUGUGUGAUGAAGGCCUUCGGGUUGUAAAGCACUUUUGGCGGGAACGAAAAGGACUGUGCCAAUACCACGGUUCGAUGACGGUACCCGCAGAAUAAGCACCGGCUAACUACGUG
RNAcentral lists this ribosomal RNA (484 nucleotides) under uncultured bacterium. Its description in RNAcentral is "partial 16S ribosomal RNA". It matches the Rfam family "Bacterial small subunit ribosomal RNA", at positions 29 to 507 of the family's 1533-position model. The record is from RNAcentral.